GCACCAUGUGGCAUGUUCGGCAACAAUGGUGCCGAACAUGCAUAAUUCAAUGCUUCGUCAGAAAUUCCUGACGAAGCAUUGACCGCGUGCAUGUAGAGCUACGCGGCUCUGCAUGCACAGUCCUCGACAAAGGAGACUUUGGCUUUAAAGCCAAAGUCUCGACUCUUCUUCUUCUCUUUCCCCUUCAAAAUUUUUCAUCCUCCUUCUCCUCCGCAGCCUUCUCUUCUCUCUCUCCAUCGCCGGAAGCCUUCAUCUUCAGCAAAUCUUCUUCUUCAAAUCUUCUUCUCCAGCACAAGCGAUCUCUUUCCAUCACAGAUAUGGAAGAAAGGCGCAACCGUCGUGACAGACGUGAUUAUAUUUUACCUGGUUCCAAUGAUCCAUCGUUGCUAUAUGGACAAGCCGAACAUAGGUCUGAGGCUAUAUGGCAACAAAAUAUAGAAAGUGGGGCAAUAGGUUGUAGAAGAACGGGUACAGUUUUACAUUUGGGUGAAAUACCAGAUCAAAUAAUACCUCACCUACGACGGUCGGGUUUUUAUGGUGUAAUCCGGUUAGGUUUUUUUGCAUUAGAUUGGCAUUUAAUUACGGCUCUUGUUGAGAGGUAGCGACCAGAGACACAUACAUUUAUGUUUCCUGAAGGAGAAAUGACUAUAACCCUUCAGGAUGUAGGGCUAAUAACCGGGUUGCCUGUCAAUGGUGCAGCUGUUACAGGCCGAUCACGCCACCAUUGGCCUUCAGUUUAUGAGGCGUUAUUAGGUGUCAUUCCACCUAAUAAUGCCAUUAGAGGGUGUUAUCUGAAACUAAGUUGGCUUGCUGAGGAAUUUAGUCAACUUCCCGAUGAUGCUGAUGAGGAAGUUGUUCAUAGGUUUGCAAGAGCAUACAUUAUGAGAGCGAUUGGAUCCAUAUUUGGUGAUACAUCUGCGUCGCGGGUGAACUUAAUGUUUCUACCUUUGUUAGCCGAUCUUGAGGACGCUGGUAAUUAUAGCUGGGGUGGGGCAUGUCUAGCAUAGUUGUAUAGACAGUUAUGUAAGGCGACAAAUCCUGAAGUUAUGCAAAUGUCUGGUCCCUUAUUUAUAGUUCAGAUAUGGGCAUGGGACCGAAUCACAGCAGUAUCGCCGGCACUGUCAGACAGAGCACCACAUCAUGAUGCUCCACUAGGCAGCAGGUGGAGUAAUGCCAGACAUGUUACAGAGGUAGUCACCCACGUACUCGUGGAGCUGCGAUAUCAGCUUGAUAGAUUAUUACCCGAGCAGGUACUUUGGGAGCCGUACACUGAUGCCCUGCCACAUAUUGAGUAAUGGACUCUCGAGGUUUUAUUUAUUUUGUUUGACCUCCAGUCCAUCUCAUUACGUAUUUGAGAAGAUCUCGGACGUCCCUUCUUUCUGAUUCUAGAAAUAUCAGGCACAUGAGGAAGUCCAUCUGUUGGAGGCCAAUAGUCAGGGUGUCCAAGAGGAUGGAAUGUGUACGCGUAACAUUGUAUGUAACGAUGAUGACCAGCUGGAGGUUGCCACCAAUCUUUCUGCAUCGCCUUCAAAAUUCCAGCAUGUCGAUCUGAAAUUACACACAAAUCUUCUCGGUUGGUUACAAAGAUCCUUAAGCAAUCCAUAAACCAUGACCAAUUGUCCCCGUCCUCCUUAUCCACAAUGGCAAAAGCUAAUGGAAAUAGUUGAUUAUUUCCAUCAAGUGCGGUUGCACACAGUAUACACCCAGUGUAUUUUUCGUAUAAGAAUGUCCCAUCGAUUGAGAUAACAGGUCGGCAAUGUUUAAAUCCCUCAAUCGAUUGCUUAAAAGCCCAAAACAUACGGUCAAAUACACGACACAUCGGAUUUAAUCGCUCAUUUAUCCAAUAUGGAUUAUCUUUAAUCAUGUAUACUGUUUCUGGGUUAAAAUGAUGAAGAGCAGUCAUGAAUCUACGCAAACAACUGUAUGAUUCAUCCCAACCCCCAUAAAGCCUUGCAAUUGCCUUCUGCUUAGCUUUCCAUGUUUUCUGAUAAGACGGCUCGUAUCCAUAUUUAUCCCGCACUUCAGCUUGUAGGGCAGCAAUUUUUAUAUCGGGCUGCUGUUCAAUUAAUGC
Molecule: long non-coding RNA, 2071 nt
Organism: Manihot esculenta (cassava)
Lineage: Eukaryota; Viridiplantae; Streptophyta; Magnoliopsida; Malpighiales; Euphorbiaceae
Exons: 5
Source: RefSeq, a predicted model, not a curated record